AACGCACCUUGCGCUCUAUGGCAAUCCGUAGAGCAUGCCUGUUUGAGUGCCAUGAAAUCUCCCACCCCAAGCGGUUUUUACAUGAAACGGCUUGGCGGAUGGGGUCUGGAUGGGUGCCUCUGCCUGCGCUACCUAGCACAGGCUCGCCCGAAAUGCAUGAGCGCCUUGAGACACUUUGCAUCCGCCUCUCUGUUUGGGAGGAGGCGGCCAAGCAGUGUUUUUCUCCUGGCAUGGCAUGAUACGUCAUUUGCUAUGUCGCCUAAAGGAGGAAUGUUUGGUUGUGUCUGCGUGUGCUUCGAACUUGCCUCUGUGGCACAUCCCAAUUUCACUUCUGGUCUCAAAUCAGGUAGGAUCACCCGCUGAACUUAA
RNAcentral lists this unclassified non-coding RNA (369 nucleotides) under uncultured fungus. RNAcentral describes it as "partial contains 5.8S ribosomal RNA, internal transcribed spacer 2, and large subunit ribosomal RNA". Lineage: Eukaryota; Fungi. RNAcentral also lists the same sequence under 2 other names. The record is from RNAcentral.